AUGGUUAAGUUAGAAAGGGCGCACGGUGGAUGCCUUGGCACUAGGAGCCGAAGAAGGACGGGACUAACACCGAUAUGCUUUGGGGAGCUGUACGUAAGCGUUGAUCCAGAGAUUUCCGAAUGGGGGAACCCACUAUCUUUAGUCGGAUAGUAUCCUUACGUGAAUACAUAGCGUAAGGAAGGCAGACCCAGGGAACUGAAACAUCUAAGUACCUGGAGGAAGAGAAAGAAAAAUCGAUUUCCUGAGUAGCGGCGAGCGAAACGGAAAGAGCCCAAACCAAGAAGCUUGCUUCUUGGGGUUGUAGGACACUCUAUACGGAGUUACAAAGGAAUGUGGUAAACGAAGUGGUCUGGAAAGGCCCGCCAAAGAAGGUAACAGCCCUGUAAUUGAAAGCAUAUUCCCUCCAGAGUGGAUCCUGAGUACGGCGGAACACGUGAAAUUCCGUCGGAAUCCGGGAGGACCAUCUCCCAAGGCUAAAUACUCCCUAGUGACCGAUAGUGAACCAGUACCGUGAGGGAAAGGUGAAAAGCACCCCGGAAGGGGAGUGAAACAGUUCCUGAAACCGUGUGCCUACAAGUAGUUAGAGCCCGUUAAUGGGUGAUAGCGUGCCUUUUGUAGAAUGAACCGGCGAGUUACGAUUUGUUGCAAGGUUAAGCGGAAAAAGCGGAGCCGUAGCGAAAGCGAGUCUGAAUAGGGCGCAUGAGUAACAGGUCGUAGACCCGAAACCAGGUGAUCUACCCAUGUCCAGGAUGAAGGUGAGGUAAUACUCACUGGAGGUCCGAACCCACGCACGUUGAAAAGUGCGGGGAUGAGGUGUGGGUAGCGGAGAAAUUCCAAUCGAACCUGGAGAUAGCUGGUUCUCUCCGAAAUAGCUUUAGGGCUAGCCUCGAGGU
This 893-nucleotide ribosomal RNA is filed under the name Listeria booriae. Its description in RNAcentral is "partial 23S ribosomal RNA". It matches the Rfam family "Bacterial large subunit ribosomal RNA", at positions 1 to 888 of the family's 2925-position model. Lineage: Bacteria; Bacillati; Bacillota; Bacilli; Caryophanales; Listeriaceae. The record is from RNAcentral.